UCCAAGUGGGCCAUUUUUGGUAA
Molecule: non-coding RNA, 23 nt
Filed under: Arabidopsis thaliana (thale cress)
Lineage: Eukaryota; Viridiplantae; Streptophyta; Magnoliopsida; Brassicales; Brassicaceae
Source: RNAcentral